This 85-nucleotide transfer RNA is filed under the name Felis catus (domestic cat). It matches the Rfam family "tRNA". Rfam says of the family: Transfer RNA (tRNA) molecules are approximately 80 nucleotides in length. Lineage: Eukaryota; Metazoa; Chordata; Mammalia; Carnivora; Felidae. The record is from Rfam by way of RNAcentral.
GCCUGGGUGGCUCAGUUGGUUGAGCAUCUGACUUUUGCUCAGGUUGUGAUCUCGCGAUUUGUGGGCUCAAGCCCCCCAUUGGGCU